RNAcentral lists this ribosomal RNA (364 nucleotides) under uncultured delta proteobacterium. RNAcentral describes it as "bacterial SSU rRNA". It matches the Rfam family "Bacterial small subunit ribosomal RNA", at positions 183 to 523 of the family's 1533-position model. Lineage: Bacteria; Deltaproteobacteria. The record is from RNAcentral.
GGGGCUCCGGCCCUUGUCGGGAAAGACGGCCUCUUCACGAAAGCUGUCACCGGGAGAUGAGCCCGCGGCCCAUCAGCUAGUUGGUAGGGUAACGGCCUACCAAGGCGAAGACGGGUAGCUGGUCUGAGAGGAUGAUCAGCCACACUGGGACUGAGACACGGCCCAGACUCCUACGGGAGGCAGCAGUGGGGAAUAUUGGGCAAUGGGCGCAAGCCUGACCCAGCCACGCCGCGUGAGUGAUGAAGGCCUUCGGGUCGUAAAGCUCUGUGGGGAGGGACGAAUCAGCCUCGGGAACAAUACCCCGGGGCCUUGACGGUACCUCCUUAGCAAGCACCGGCUAACUCCGUGCCAGCAGCCGCGGUAA